Molecule: non-coding RNA, 111 nt
Organism: Acanthosepion pharaonis
Lineage: Eukaryota; Metazoa; Mollusca; Cephalopoda; Sepiida; Sepiidae
Source: the annotation of a GenBank genome assembly
UUACGGCCAUAUCACGUUGAAACAUUGGUUCCGGUAUGAUCACCGAAGCUAAGAAACGUCGAGCCUGGUCAGCACCUAAAUAGUUGACCGCUUGGGAAUACCAGGUUGUGU